Molecule: non-coding RNA, 659 nt
Organism: Zonotrichia albicollis (white-throated sparrow)
Lineage: Eukaryota; Metazoa; Chordata; Aves; Passeriformes; Passerellidae
Source: RefSeq, a predicted model, not a curated record
CAUUUCAGCCGAUCAACCUGGAGAGGGAGGGGGAGGAGGGGCAGAGAUACGUGCUGCUGGAAUAAAAUAAGAUCAAGCGGGGGGAAAAAUUAUGUAUACACGUAUAGGCAGCUAGAGAUCUCCCUGCCUGCCUCCUCCCCUCCCCCGAGACGGGCAGCUCCGAUCCCGCAGGAACGCCUGAAACUGUUUCAGACCAAGAAUGGUAACUACAAUGGGACAAUCCAGCCGUUUACCAACAAAUGAACAGAACUUACAGAAGUGUACAUGAAUAGCCCUGUAACAUGAGCACCUUCACUGCACUGCCUGGUGAGGGAUGCACUGGGGCCGGCAGGAGUACAGCCUGACGCAGGACACCAGAGUCAGACAGUCAAGAACAGAAAAUUGGAUUUUUACAACCCAUUGGUAUCUCACCACCACCUUCUUCCAGGUCCUCUACAACUGUGGUACAAGUCCAACUGUCCUGGAAAGGUAUAUGUGACUCACACCACAGCUGCUGGCUCACAGCAGGGAUUUUCUCCUCUUGAAGUUCAUUUCCAGGACCAGAUUAAGAAGCAGUAGCCUACAACAGGGAGAUUUGCUAUCCCUAUUCCCAGUCAUUCUGCUUCUCUGCACUUUGCUGUAACUUUAUAGAGAAUAAAAAUAAAAAAUCAUAUAAACAU